GCCCAUAUAGCUCAGUUGGUAGAGCGCUUCCAUGGUAAGGAAGAGGUCGCAAGUUCAAUUCUUGCUGUGGGCACCA
Molecule: transfer RNA, 76 nt
Filed under: Candidatus Pelagibacteraceae bacterium
Lineage: Bacteria; Pseudomonadati; Pseudomonadota; Alphaproteobacteria; Candidatus Pelagibacterales; Candidatus Pelagibacteraceae
Description: tRNA-Thr
Rfam family: tRNA
About the family: Transfer RNA (tRNA) molecules are approximately 80 nucleotides in length. Their secondary structure includes four short double-helical elements and three loops (D, anti-codon, and T loops). Further hydrogen bonds mediate the characteristic L-shaped molecular structure. tRNAs have two regions of fundamental functional importance: the anti-codon, which is responsible for specific mRNA codon recognition, and the 3' end, to which the tRNAs corresponding amino acid is attached (by aminoacyl-tRNA synthetases). tRNAs cope with the degeneracy of the genetic code in two manners: having more than one tRNA (with a specific anti-codon) for a particular amino acid; and 'wobble' base-pairing, i.e. permitting non-standard base-pairing at the 3rd anti-codon position.
Source: RNAcentral